AUUGAACGCUAGCGGAAUGCCUUACACAUGCAAGUCGAACGGCAGCGCGGACUUCGGUCUGGCGGCGAGUGGCGAACGGGUGAGUAAUGUAUCGGAACGUGCCCAGUAGCGGGGGAUAACUACUUGAAAGAGUAGCUAAUACCGCAUACGCCCUAAGGGGGAAAGCGGGGGAUCUUCGGACCUCGCACUAUUGGAGCGGCUGAUAUCGGAUUAGCUAGUUGGUGGGGUAAAGGCCUACCAAGGCGACGAUCCGUAGCUGGUUUGAGAGGACGACCAGCCACACUGGGACUGAGACACGGCCCAGACUCCUACGGGAGGCAGCAGUGGGGAAUUUUGGACAAUGGGGGAAACCCUGAUCCAGCCAUUCCGCGUGUGUGAAGAAGGCCUUCGGGUUGUAAAGCACUUUUGGCAGGAAAGAAACGGCGCCGGCUAAUAUCCGGCGUAACUGACGGUACCUGCAGAAUAAGCACCGGCUAACUACGUGCCAGCAGCCGCAGUAA
This 500-nucleotide ribosomal RNA is filed under the name uncultured bacterium. RNAcentral describes it as "partial 16S ribosomal RNA". It matches the Rfam family "Bacterial small subunit ribosomal RNA", at positions 30 to 523 of the family's 1533-position model. The record is from RNAcentral.